GGUUGAAAGGUAAAAAGUUAUCUCACUUGAUUGUUCACAGUUACUGAUGAAACUCCUUGUUCUACUACUUUCCCCCUCCUCACUACUGCACUUGAGCAGUCUUAA
Molecule: non-coding RNA, 105 nt
Filed under: Prolemur simus (greater bamboo lemur)
Lineage: Eukaryota; Metazoa; Chordata; Mammalia; Primates; Lemuridae
Source: RNAcentral